This 69-nucleotide transfer RNA is filed under the name Rattus norvegicus (Norway rat). It matches the Rfam family "tRNA". Rfam says of the family: Transfer RNA (tRNA) molecules are approximately 80 nucleotides in length. Their secondary structure includes four short double-helical elements and three loops (D, anti-codon, and T loops). Lineage: Eukaryota; Metazoa; Chordata; Mammalia; Rodentia; Muridae. The record is from Rfam by way of RNAcentral.
GGGGAUUUAGCUCAGUGGUAGAGCGCUUGCCUAGGAAGCGCAAGGCCCUGGGUACGAUCCCCAGCUCCG